Molecule: ribosomal RNA, 292 nt
Filed under: uncultured bacterium
Lineage: Bacteria
Description: partial 16S ribosomal RNA
Source: RNAcentral
GGACUACUGGGGUAUCUAAUCCUGUUUGCUCCCCUUGCUCUCGCGCCUCAGCGUCAGGUAAAAACUAGAAAGCCGCUUUCGCCACCGGUGUUCCUCCAUGUAUCUACGCAUUUCACCGCUACUCAUGGAAUUCCGCUUUCUCCGUCAGUCCUCAAGAAACACAGUUUCAAAUGCAGCACCAAAGUUGAGCUUUGGUAUUUCACAUCUGACUUAUGCUCCCGCCUACGCGCCCUUUACGCCCAAUAAUUCCGAUUAAUGCUUGUACCCUACGUAUUACCGCGGCUGCUGGCAC